GCAUGCGAGGAGCCAUGCAUG
This 21-nucleotide microRNA is filed under the name Corchorus olitorius. RNAcentral describes it as "osa-miR160d-". The record is from RNAcentral. Lineage: Eukaryota; Viridiplantae; Streptophyta; Magnoliopsida; Malvales; Malvaceae.